Molecule: ribosomal RNA, 204 nt
Filed under: uncultured bacterium
Lineage: Bacteria
Description: partial 16S ribosomal RNA
Rfam family: Bacterial small subunit ribosomal RNA
Source: RNAcentral
AUUGCAGGCUGCAACUCGCCUGCAUGAAGUUGGAAUUGCUAGUAAUCGCGAAUCAGAAUGUCGCGGUGAAUACGUUCCCGGGCCUUGUACACACCGCCCGUCACACCAUGAGAGUCGAUAACACCCGAAGCCUGUGAGCUAACCGUAAGGAGGCAGCAGUCGAAGGUGGGGUUGAUGAUUGGGGUGAAGUCGUAACAAGGUAGC